RNAcentral lists this unclassified non-coding RNA (237 nucleotides) under Podospora appendiculata. RNAcentral's name for it is "partial internal transcribed spacer region". The stretch from base 1 to 46 matches the Rfam family "Eukaryotic small subunit ribosomal RNA", at positions 1786 to 1831 of the family's 1831-position model. The record is from RNAcentral. Lineage: Eukaryota; Fungi; Ascomycota; Sordariomycetes; Sordariales; Podosporaceae.
AAGUCGUAACAAGGUCUCCGUUGGUGAACCAGCGGAGGGAUCAUUACAGAGUUGCAAAACUCCCUUAAACCAUCGCGAACGUACCCGUACCGUUGCUUCGGUGGGCGGCUCCAGGGCGGAGCCGAAGCCUUCACGGGCGCCCGCCGGAGGACCUAUACCUAACUAUUUAUCUUAACUGGCCUCUCUGAGUAUUUUUAUAAUAAGUAAAAACUUUCAACAACGGAUCUCUUGGUUCUG